RNAcentral lists this ribosomal RNA (492 nucleotides) under uncultured bacterium. RNAcentral describes it as "partial 16S ribosomal RNA". It matches the Rfam family "Bacterial small subunit ribosomal RNA", at positions 33 to 507 of the family's 1533-position model. The record is from RNAcentral.
ACGCUGGCGGCGUGCCUAAUACGUGCAAGUCGAGCGAACAGACGAGGAGCUUGCUCCUCUGACGUUAGCGGCGGACGGGUGAGUAACACGUGGAUAACCUACCUAUAAGACUGGGAUAACUUCGGGAAACCGGAGCUAAUACCGGAUAAUAUAUUGAACCGCAUGGUUCAAUAGUGAAAGACGGUUUUGCUGUCACUUAUAGAUGGAUCCGCGCCGCAUUAGCUAGUUGGUAAGGUAACGGCUUACCAAGGCAACGAUGCGUAGCCGACCUGAGAGGGUGAUCGGCCACACUGGAACUGAGACACGGUCCAGACUCCUACGGGAGGCAGCAGUAGGGAAUCUUCCGCAAUGGGCGAAAGCCUGACGGAGCAACGCCGCGUGAGUGAUGAAGGUCUUCGGAUCGUAAAACUCUGUUAUUAGGGAAGAACAAAUGUGUAAGUAACUAUGCACGUCUUGACGGUACCUAAUCAGAAAGCCACGGCUAACUACGUG